UACGUAGGGUGCGAGCGUUGUCCGGAAUUACUGGGCGUAAAGAGCUCGUAGGUGGUUUGUCGCGUUGUUCGUGAAAACCUAAGGCUUAACCUUGGGCGUGCGGGCGAUACGGGCAGACUGGAGUACUGCAGGGGAGACUGGAAUUCCUGGUGUAGCGGUGGAAUGCGCAGAUAUCAGGAGGAACACCGGUGGCGAAGGCGGGUCUCUGGGCCGAUACUGACGCUGAGGAGCGAAAGCGUGGGGAGCGAACAGG
RNAcentral lists this ribosomal RNA (253 nucleotides) under uncultured bacterium. Its description in RNAcentral is "partial 16S ribosomal RNA". It matches the Rfam family "Bacterial small subunit ribosomal RNA", at positions 524 to 776 of the family's 1533-position model. The record is from RNAcentral.